RNAcentral lists this ribosomal RNA (500 nucleotides) under uncultured bacterium. RNAcentral's name for it is "partial 16S ribosomal RNA". It matches the Rfam family "Bacterial small subunit ribosomal RNA", at positions 30 to 523 of the family's 1533-position model. The record is from RNAcentral.
AUUGAACGCUGGCGGCAUGCCUUACACAUGCAAGUCGAACGGCAGCACGGGAGCAAUCCUGGUGGCGAGUGGCGAACGGGUGAGUAAAGUAUCGGAACGUGCCCAGUCGUGGGGGAUAACGUAGCGAAAGUUACGCUAAUACCGCAUACGAUCUAUGAAUGAAAGCGGGGGAUCGCAAGACCUCGCGCGAUUGGAGCGGCCGAUAUCAGAUUAGGUAGUUGGUGGGGUAAAGGCUCACCAAGCCGACGAUCUGUAGCUGGUCUGAGAGGACGACCAGCCACACUGGGACUGAGACACGGCCCAGACUCCUACGGGAGGCAGCAGUGGGGAAUUUUGGACAAUGGGCGAAAGCCUGAUCCAGCCAUGCCGCGUGCAGGAUGAAGGCCUUCGGGUUGUAAACUGCUUUUGUACGGUACGAAAAGGUUUGGCCUAAUAAGCUGAGCUCAUGACGGUACCGUAAGAAUAAGCACCGGCUAACUACGUGCCAGCAGCCGCCGUAA